GGGGUUCGGUUGGGUGAUGGGGGUUUUGUAGCUUUCCUGUAUUCGUUUCUUGUUUCUAUAUCUUUUCUAUUUCUUUACCAGAUUCCCCACCUCCUCUGCUCUUUCUAUCGUAAAUCCUUUUCGGGUUUUUGUUGUUGCUAUUGUUUUUUUAAAUUAUUCCUUCCUUUUUUAUAAUUUUGGUUCACACUCCCACAUGCAUGUUUUCUUGGGUUUGUCUGAUCUGGACUGGAUCACAAGGAUCUAUCUUUAGACAGAGGAAGAGAGUGUCGUGGGUUUUGGUGCUCGAGUCUAUUUGUACAGCAUCUUGGUUUCUUUGAGGAGGGAAGAAGAAGAAGAAGAAGAAGAAGAAGAAUGAGGAGGUGAGAUUUGUGCCUAUUGGAUCCCUUUCCUGCUUUGGGCCACGCAAGAUUCUUUGCUUGUACUUCUUGAGGAUAUCUGCAGCUUUCUCAAUUUGUUAUUCUCCUGUCCUGCCUGGAUGAAACUUGAACUUAGUCUGGUUCUCGUUCCGGCAAGAUUGCUAGUUAUUUCUCAUAUCGUCAUCUUGGCACCCAGUGUGUGAACUGGGUCCAUUGCUUCUAUUGAAAUUCAGUGGUUCUUAUUUCAUAGGAGCAAAUAGUUGAUGGGUGUUGAUUAUGCUACCUUCUGGUCUUUUAGGUUGUAAUUUGGGCGGUGAUUAGCAAUCUUAUCCAAUUGAGUUCUGGUGUUGGAUGAUUGAAUUGAGGUUUUGAUUGUGUAUAUUGUUUUCUGGUUUCAUCUACAUACUGCUGAGGCAUGGCGGGGAUUGAUAUUUCCAAAUAUGCCCAUAGUCCCGUGCAUAAGGCCAUUGCAACGAGAGAUUAUGCCACUCUCAGAAAGAUACUUGCUGGCCUUCCACGACUUUGUGACCCUGCCGAGAUUCGGACAGAGGCAGUUUCAUUGGUCGAGGAAGAGAAGGCAGAUACUAUCGCUGCAGUCAUUGAUAGGCGUGAUGUCCCAAACCGUGACACUCCUCUACACUUGGCUGUCAAACUAGGUGAUGAGACUGCGGCUGAGAUGCUUUUGGUUGCUGGUGCUGAUUGGAGCUUGCAGAAUGAGCAGGGAUGGAGUGCACUUCAAGAAGCCAUUUGCAAUAGAGAAGAGGGGAUAGCAAUGAUCAUAGUAAGGCAUUACCAGCCAUUAGCUUGGGCAAAAUGGUGUAGGAGGUUGCCUCGUUUGGUGGGGACCAUGCAAAGGAUGAGAGACUUCUAUAUGGAAAUUACAUUCCAUUUUGAGAGUUCUGUCAUACCUUUCAUUUCAAGGAUUGCACCUUCAGAUACAUACAAAAUUUGGAAGAGAGGUGCAAAUUUGAGGGCAGACAUGACUUUGGCUGGUUUUGAUGGUUUUAGGAUUCAGCGUUCAGAUCAGAGUAUACUGUUCCUUGGCGAUGGAUCUGAGGAUGAGAAAGUUCCUCCUGGAUCACUUUGCAUGAUCUCACAUAAGGACAAGGAAGUGAUGAAUGCUUUGGAUGGUGCUGGUUCGCCAGCUACUGAAGAAGAGGUUCGGCAAGAGGUGGCUGCCAUGUUUCAGACCAAUAUAUUCCGGCCAGGAAUUGAUGUGACCCAGGCAGUUCUUUUGCCACAGUUGACUUGGAGACGGCAGGAAAAAACAGAACUGGUGGGCCCAUGGAAAGCAAAGGUCUAUGAUAUGCACAAUGUGGUUGUUAGCAUUAAAUCUAGAAGGGUUCCAGGAGCUAUGACAGAUGAUGAAUUCUUCUCAUCCUGCAAUGAGAAUGAAACAGAGAGUGAGGAGCUCAAUGACAUUUUGACAGAAGAAGAAAGAAGGCAACUUGAAGUCGCUCUUAAAUUGGAUUCAUCAGAAUUGACCAGUGAGAAUGGUGAUGGGAUUAUUGCUCAUCGUCAUAGCUGUUAUGAGCAUAGGGAGAUUCCUAUUGAAGAUGGAAAUAGUUGUAGAAAUGGAGAGACUAAGCAGGAAAAGAAAGGGUGGUUUGGCGGAUGGAGGAAGCGGGAUUCUAAAGUUGAAGGGCAGAAGAAAAUUGUUCCACCAAGAAGUUCCCUUUGUGUUGAUGAGAAGGUGAGCGACUUAUUAGGGGACUCUCCAUCCGGUAGUCAGAUUAAACCAGGAAGGCAUUCUGUUGAGAUAGUUGUGAGGGAUGAGCACCGGAAAGGAAGAGAUACCAAGGCAUCUGCUUCUUUGAGCACUGAGAGUAGUAAUCGGCGCAAGGAAGGAAGCCAUGAGAAUGAAUAUAAGAAGGGAUUGAGGCCUAUUCUCUGGCUUUCACCAAACUUCCCAUUACAAACUGAGGAACUUCUUCCAUUGCUUGACAUCCUUGCAAAUAAGGUUAAGGCAAUUCGUCGUUUAAGAGAGCUGCUUACAACCAAACUUCCAAUGGGAACCUUUCCUGUGAAGAUGAAAAAGGGGACAUAUGCUAGAGGUACUAGGAGCCUCUAGGAAGAUGAUAGUGAGGGAGUACAGCAAUCCAUAUUGUAGACAUUAAAGGCUUCAGGAAUCUUGCAAUCAAGACAAGCAAAUUUUUUUCUGGGGCUUAGUUUGUGAGACUGGACCUGGUUGAUUUUGGGUCAAGGUGUAGUUGAGCUGGCUUUGGCUGGGAAUUUAUUUGAGGGAUAAUAAUUUAUUAUGGUGAAAUAUGGUUUGUGAAUGUUGAUUGGAAUUAGUCUGUCAUUCGCUUUUCUUCAAAUUUGGGAUUCGUGAUACUCGAUGCUGAUCUGACUACAUUAUGCUUUAUGCUUGGAUGCAUAAUUAGGAGUACAGUUAUUAGACCUCUAUGAUUGGCUGCUCAAAACAGGUAGCUCUGAACCAGAUACCUUUUUUGAAGCUGAACUUGAUACAAAUUAAUUUAAAUUGCUAAAACUGAGCUGAAGUUGGUAAGUUUGACCUGGUUGGCUCAUUCUGAUCAGUAAAAUGGGGGAAAUCAGACCGAGUUAUGAUAGUUGAUAGUGUUUGAACUUUGAAACAAUGAAUCCUUUAACACCAUCUUUAGUGGAAGACAACUUGAUAGUUUCUCCAGUAAGAUUGAGUGAUGUGCAGAACCUCUGCAACUCUUCUUCCCUUCCUUUCUGAGUCUGUCCUGUUUUUUGCUGUUGUGAUAUGUCAGAAAAACUCGGGUAACAAUUCGUAAAAUUGUUGUUCAUUCUAAUGUAGUAACUGUCUAUUUUUCAAGAGAAGAGCUUUCUGUUUUAUUUAUUUAUAUUGUAUUCUUUAAUAAAUUCU
This is an RNA transcript of Manihot esculenta (cassava), 3207 nucleotides long. It is a transcript of the gene named ankyrin repeat domain-containing protein 13C-B, with no coding region annotated. NCBI's taxonomy places the organism in Eukaryota, Viridiplantae, Streptophyta, Magnoliopsida, Malpighiales, Euphorbiaceae. The transcript is spliced from 3 exons. The record is from RefSeq and is a predicted model, not a curated record.